Molecule: ribosomal RNA, 502 nt
Filed under: uncultured Glomus
Lineage: Eukaryota; Fungi; Glomeromycota; Glomeromycetes; Glomerales; Glomeraceae
Description: SSU rRNA
Rfam family: Eukaryotic small subunit ribosomal RNA
Source: RNAcentral
AGCAACCGCGGUAAUUCCAGCUCCAAUAGCGUAUAUUAAAGUUGUUGCAGUUAAAAAGCUCGUAGUUGAAUUUCGGGGUCAUCAAGUUGGUCGUGCCACUGGUAUGCACUGGCUUUGCUGAUUCCUCCUUCCUGAAGAACUGUAAUGCUAUUAAUUUAGUGUUGCAGGGAAACAGGACUGUUACUUUGAAAAAUUAGAGUGUUUAAAGCAGGCUAACGCUUGAAUACAUUAGCAUGGAAUAAUGAAAUAGGACGUUUGAUCCUAUUUUGUUGGUUUCUAGGAUUGACGUAAUGAUUAAUAGGGAUAGUUGGGGGCAUUAGUAUUCAAUUGUCAGAGGUGAAAUUCUUGGAUUUAUUGAAGACUAACUACUGCGAAAGCAUUUGCCAAGGAUGUUUUCAUUAAUCAAGAACGAAAGUUAGGGGAUCGAAGACGAUCAGAUACCGUCGUAGUCUUAACCAUAAACUAUGCCGACUAGGGAUCGGAUGAUGUUAAUUUUUAAUGA